This is a non-coding RNA of Potamilus streckersoni, 67 nucleotides long. The record is from the annotation of a GenBank genome assembly. Lineage: Eukaryota; Metazoa; Mollusca; Bivalvia; Unionida; Unionidae.
GGGACUUAGUGGUUAGAGCGCUUGCCUCGGAUACUAGAGGUCGUGGGUUCAAUCCCCGGUCGAAUCA